This 1426-nucleotide ribosomal RNA is filed under the name uncultured organism. RNAcentral's name for it is "SSU rRNA". It matches the Rfam family "Bacterial small subunit ribosomal RNA". The record is from RNAcentral.
GCUUAACACAUGCAAGUCGAGCGUCAGCAUGGUCUUAGCUUGCUAAGGCCGAUGGCGACCGGCGCACGGGUGAGUAACACGUAUCCAACCUGCCGUCUACUCUUGGACAGCCUUCUGAAAGGAAGAUUAAUACAAGAUGGCAUCAUGAGUCCGCAUGUUCACAUGAUUAAAGGUAUUCCGGUAGACGAUGGGGAUGCGUUCCAUUAGAUAGUAGGCGGGGUAACGGCCCACCUAGCCUUCGAUGGAUAGGGGUUCUGAGAGGAAGGUCCCCCACAUUGGAACUGAGACACGGUCCAAACUCCUACGGGAGGCAGCAGUGAGGAAUAUUGGUCAAUGGGCGAGAGCCUGAACCAGCCAAGUAGCGUGAAGGAUGACUGCCCUAUGGGUUGUAAACUUCUUUUAUAAAGGAAUAAAGUCGGGUAUGGAUACCCGUUUGCAUGUACUUUAUGAAUAAGGAUCGGCUAACUCCGUGCCAGCAGCCGCGGUAAUACGGAGGAUCCGAGCGUUAUCCGGAUUUAUUGGGUUUAAAGGGAGCGUAGAUGGAUGUUUAAGUCAGUUGUGAAAGUUUGCGGCUCAACCGUAAAAUUGCAGUUGAUACUGGAUAUCUUGAGUGCAGUUGAGGCAGGCGGAAUUCGUGGUGUAGCGGUGAAAUGCUUAGAUAUCACGAAGAACUCCGAUUGCGAAGGCAGCCUGCUAAGCUGCAACUGACAUUGAGGCUCGAAAGUGUGGGUAUCAAACAGGAUUAGAUACCCUGGUAGUCCACACGGUAAACGAUGAAUACUCGCUGUUUGCGAUAUACUGCAAGCGGCCAAGCGAAAGCGUUAAGUAUUCCACCUGGGGAGUACGCCGGCAACGGUGAAACUCAAAGGAAUUGACGGGGGCCCGCACAAGCGGAGGAACAUGUGGUUUAAUUCGAUGAUACGCGAGGAACCUUACCCGGGCUUAAAUUGCAGAUGAAUUACGGUGAAAGCCGUAAGCCGCAAGGCAUCUGUGAAGGUGCUGCAUGGUUGUCGUCAGCUCGUGCCGUGAGGUGUCGGCUUAAGUGCCAUAACGAGCGCAACCCUUGUUGUCAGUUACUAACAGGUUCCGCUGAGGACUCUGACAAGACUGCCAUCGUAAGAUGUGAGGAAGGUGGGGAUGACGUCAAAUCAGCACGGCCCUUACGUCCGGGGCUACACACGUGUUACAAUGGGGGGUACAGAGGGCCGCUACCACGCGAGUGGAUGCCAAUCCCCAAAACCUCUCUCAGUUCGGACUGGAGUCUGCAACCCGACUCCACGAAGCUGGAUUCGCUAGUAAUCGCGCAUCAGCCACGGCGCGGUGAAUACGUUCCCGGGCCUUGUACACACCGCCCGUCAAGCCAUGGGAGCCGGGGGUACCUGAAGUGCGUAACCGCGAGGAGCGCCCUAGGGUAAAACUGGUGACA